CCAGUACUGUAGUCCGGUACACAUAAUUGCCCCCCAUAUAUAUAUAGACUCAAACUAGGCUAGCAGUGAAAUGAUAUUUUUCUUUUGCUUUUUUUUCAGUUAUGUGUAUGAGAAGCAGGGCGAUAUCUCCGGCCCACUUCUUUGACAGGUUCUCUUGUUGUUGAUGCUGAGAAACUCCAGGAGCCUGCUAUUUGGAGAGAGAAAUGUGUUCCAGCUGCUGGUGCUAACAAAGAUCUGAGGUUAUACACACAGGACCUAUCACCCACACCCACCCGAUUGGGAGGGGUUGCCUCUCCCUGUGUCCACACAUAUGCCUUGAGUUGCUCUUCAGUGAAUAUCACUUUUCCUUUCAUGUUUUUUCUACAUGCUAUUAUCUGUAUGAAAUGAAGACCAAGAAAGGAUGGGAAGAAGGGGAAGAAAAAUUUUGAUUUAUCUCAGAAACUGUACUCCGAAGUGAGAGUCCUGGUUGCAGGUGCAACUGAAGGACUAUGGCUAUGGUAGCUGCCCAGGAAGACUGGCCAUCCGAUUCAUGCUUGUGCAGUCCUUGGACUUUUAGAUCUACCAGAAUCAUCACAUUUUGGAGUUCUCAGUCCCAUGUACAAAGUCCAACUGUCUGAGGCCACCAUGCUCUGAGGAUGUCCAGGCCACCUGGAGAGGCUACCAGAUAUGUGUAUGAAGAAGUCGUCUUGAAAGUGGAUCUUCCAGCCCAAGUUAUUCUAGCUACAGCUGUUUGAGUCUCCUCGUGCAAGCCCCAGACAUCAUGGAAUGGAGAAGAGCUGAGCCACUGUGUCCUCUCCAAAUUCUCAAUCCACAAAACUCAUGAAAAUAAUAAAAUGAUUGUGUCUUUGUGCUACUAAAUUUAGGGAAAUUUGUUAUUCAGCAAAGAUAAUUAGAACAAGAGACCACAAUUUGACUAUCAUGUUUCAGAAAUGACACAGAUCCAGAGAGGUUAAAUAAAUCAUUUUAUUCAAAUGAA
Long non-coding RNA from Pan troglodytes (chimpanzee), 976 nucleotides. RefSeq lists it as uncharacterized. Lineage: Eukaryota; Metazoa; Chordata; Mammalia; Primates; Hominidae. The transcript has 3 exons. The record is from RefSeq and is a predicted model, not a curated record.